RNAcentral lists this transfer RNA (74 nucleotides) under uncultured archaeon. RNAcentral describes it as "tRNA-Phe(gaa)". The record is from RNAcentral.
CCUUCUUUGAUGUAGGGGUUGCAUUCCUGUUUGAAACACAGGCCGUCACCGCUCGACUCGGUGGGGAAGGACCA